This is a long non-coding RNA of Varanus komodoensis (Komodo dragon), 585 nucleotides long. The record is from Ensembl. Lineage: Eukaryota; Metazoa; Chordata; Lepidosauria; Squamata; Varanidae.
GGUCCAAGACUCCCGCUUGUGGCUAUGCUGACCAGGGAUAAUGGGAGCUGUAGUCCAAUCAUCAGGUGGGUGCCAGGUGGUCUAUGGCUGCUGUAAGGGAUGGGCUGGAGUCUGGUGUGAGUGUGGAAUGGCACACGAGCAGAGUGGCAGGACACUGGCUGGAAAGCACAUGCUGGAUUUGCACCUGAGCCCAGGCCUCCCACUUGAGCUUUAUGAACUCCCUCACGCCCUGCUGCCUGACCAUGGGUGCCCCCUCCCUUUUGCUGUGGCUGCCUGGUGAGCCCGGUUUCCCCCCUGCAGGGCUCAGAGUCAGGCUCAGACCAUCCCCACCGCACAGCCAAGCGCAAGAAACGAAACCAUUCGGAAUCAGCUGGCUCGGGGGCAUCUUCCUCUCCGGAUUCAGAGCACAGCACCAGGCGUUCCAAGAGGCAGAAGAAGAAAAGCAAGAAAAAAAGACACAAGUCGGUGAGUCUGCACUCGUAGGCCAUGGGGUGGGACCAGUCCAGGAGAAGGAGAGAGGCAGGGCAGUGUGUGGAAAGCCAAGUUCUUUAGAAUAGAGACGCAGAAAUCUUGACAAGACGGGGA